GUCCUCGUAGCUUACAACAAAGCGUAGCACUGAAGAUGCUAAGACGGAUGCCCUGCACCCGCGGACA
RNAcentral lists this transfer RNA (67 nucleotides) under Ceryle rudis. Its description in RNAcentral is "tRNA-Phe". Lineage: Eukaryota; Metazoa; Chordata; Aves; Coraciiformes; Cerylidae. The record is from RNAcentral.